GGCACUUGGCCAAAAUCAACUUCCCAGCGGCAAGCUUUCUCUAAAGAACCUGGAGCAAUUUCUUUCUUUUUUUUUUUUUUUUUAAAUCAGGAAUCAUGUCUGAAAGCUGCCACAACCAGUUGUAUAGGCAUGUCAAAAUGACUUUAUACAGUCAAUAUGAAACAAGCAUUAAAUAUUUUUUCUCAUGUUGUUGCUUUUAUCAUUAUGAAUUCCUUGCUUGUUGCCACCUAAGAUACGAUGGAGCAAGCACAGUCUUAAAGAAGAUUUGCUGAUUUUUUGUUUUUCUCAGCAGACCAGAGUAGGACAUCCAUAAAAAUUCAUCAGAGAGCAUUUUACUACUGAGCUGCAAAGGUAGGAAAAAUAAAUUUUUUUUGGUUAGAAAAUAUACUUCUUUCAUCUGCGUUUCAAUAAUUUAUUCCCCUUGUUAGAUAUACAUGGAAUUGAUAUUGCUUAUUCUGACUAAGUGAAAAGUGUUAUUUCUACUUACUGCUCAAUUAGAAACAUGUAGUGUUUAAUUGUCAGUUUGAAUUUUUCUUUCAUACUAUUACAGUUUAUAUUUUACUAUAGGCAGAAUUUCCUCUUUAUCCUAAAUUUUGAUAUUCUCCAUAAUUUCAUCGUGCCUUGACAUUGCUGUAUAUAAUUUCUAUACAUCAGGAAGGCAAUUCUGUGUGCAUGUGUGUGUGUAUAUAUAUAGUUAGAAGUUAGAAACUGAAACUCUUUUUUGUCUACCAUCAUUUCAUAUUUUUCUUGCUAUUUCAAACCUAUAAUUUUUAAAGAAACGACUAACGUAAUCAUUCAUAGAAUAUGCUGUCAGUAACUUAACAAUAUAAAUGUUAACAUGGAGGCAUUUAGUUCAGCAUUUGCUUUACUUAAUAGAGUGCAGAAAAUGUGGCCCUUUUCUCAGUUAGGGUGUAUGUGAAGAUAAAUUUAGAAUUUCUAGACUAGUAAAUACUUCUCUGAUAAUAACUUAAUUAUAGCUAUUUCAAACCAAAUUGUUUAAUUGUGGUGAAUCAUAUGUAAAUUGUUCAGAUGUAGGUCAACACCCACGCCCACAUUCUAGCACCUCUUUCCUAAUUCAAGACAACUUUGCAGUGCCUAAAAGAGCUGAACAGUGCAGAUUAGAGACAUAAGACAAAAAAAAAAAAAAAA
Molecule: long non-coding RNA, 1149 nt
Filed under: Homo sapiens (human)
Lineage: Eukaryota; Metazoa; Chordata; Mammalia; Primates; Hominidae
Description: mir-99a-let-7c cluster host gene
Source: RNAcentral